This 31-nucleotide non-coding RNA is filed under the name Rattus norvegicus (Norway rat). Lineage: Eukaryota; Metazoa; Chordata; Mammalia; Rodentia; Muridae. The record is from RNAcentral.
UAUUUGGUGAAGCACAGAGUUUCUGAAUAUU